RNAcentral lists this ribosomal RNA (301 nucleotides) under uncultured bacterium. Its description in RNAcentral is "partial 16S ribosomal RNA". It matches the Rfam family "Bacterial small subunit ribosomal RNA", at positions 509 to 809 of the family's 1533-position model. The record is from RNAcentral.
CAGUCGCCGCGGUAAUACGUAGGUGGCAAGCGUUGUCCGGAAUUAUUGGGCGUAAAGCGCGCGCAGGCGGAUAGGUCAGUCUGUCUUAAAAGUUCGGGGCUUAACCCCGUGAUGGGAUGGAAACUGCCAAUCUAGAGUAUCGGAGAGGAAAGUGGAAUUCCUAGUGUAGCGGUGAAAUGCGUAGAUAUUAGGAAGAACACCAGUGGCGAAGGCGACUUUCUGGACGAAAACUGACGCUGAGGCGCGAAAGCCAGGGGAGCGAACGGGAUUAGAUACCCGAGUAGUCCCUGUCUCUUAUACA